UGGGGAAUAUUGCACAAUGGGCGAAAGCCUGAUGCAGCGACGCCGCGUGAGGGAUGACGGCCUUCGGGUUGUAAACCUCUUUCAGUAGGGACGAAGCGCAAGUGACGGUACCUACAGAAGAAGCACCGGCCAACUACGUGCCAGCAGCCGCGGUAAUACGUAGGGUGCGAGCGUUGUCCGGAUUUACUGGGCGUAAAGAGCUCGUAGGCGGUUUGUCACGUCGUCUGUGAAAACCCGAGGCUUAACCUCGGGCCUGCAGGCGAUACGGGCAGACUUGAGUACUGUAGGGGAGACUGGAAUUCCUGGUGUAGCGGUGGAAUGCGCAGAUAUCAGGAGGAGCACCGGUGGCGAAGACGGGUCUCUGGGCAGUAACUGACGCUGAGGAGCGAAAGCGUGGGUAGCGAACAGG
This 409-nucleotide ribosomal RNA is filed under the name bacterium. RNAcentral's name for it is "partial 16S ribosomal RNA". It matches the Rfam family "Bacterial small subunit ribosomal RNA", at positions 355 to 776 of the family's 1533-position model. The record is from RNAcentral.